AGAGUUUGAUCCUGGCUCAGGAUGAACGCUGGCGGCGUGCUUAACACAUGCAAGUCGAGCGAAGCGCUUUGGGAAGAUUCUUCGGAUGAUUUCCUUUGUGACUGAGCGGCGGACGGGUGAGUAACGCGUGGGUAACCUGCCUCAUACAGGGGGAUAACAGUUAGAAAUGACUGCUAAUACCGCAUAAGACCACGGUACCGCAUGGUACAGUGGUAAAAACUCCGGUGGUAUGAGAUGGACCCGCGUCUGAUUAGGUAGUUGGUGGGGUAACGGCCUACCAAGCCGACGAUCAGUAGCCGACCUGAGAGGGUGACCGGCCACAUUGGGACUGAGACACGGCCCAGACUCCUACGGGAGGCAGCAGUGGGGAAUAUUGCACAAUGGAGGAAACUCUGAUGCAGCGACGCCGCGUGAAGGAUGAAGUAUUUCGGUAUGUAAACUUCUAUCAGCAGGGAAGAAAAUGACGGUACCUGACUAAGAAGCCCCGGCUAACUACGUGCCAGCAGCCGCGGUAAUACGUAGGGGGCAAGCGUUAUCCGGAUUUACUGGGUGUAAAGGGAGCGUAGACGGCACGGCAAGCCAGAUGUGAAAGCCCGGGGCUCAACCCCGGGACUGCAUUUGGAACUGCUGAGCUAGAGUGUCGGAGAGGCAAGUGGAAUUCCUAGUGUAGCGGUGAAAUGCGUAGAUAUUAGGAGGAACACCAGUGGCGAAGGCGGCUUGCUGGACGAUGACUGACGUUGAGGCUCGAAAGCGUGGGGAGCAAACAGGAUUAGAUACCCUGGUAGUCCACGCCGUAAACGAUGACUGCUAGGUGUCGGGUGGCAAAAGCCAUUCGGUGCCGCAGCUAACGCAACAAGCAGUCCCCCUGGGGAGUACGGUUCGCAAGAUGGAACUCAAAGGGAAUUGACGGGGACCCGCGCAAGCGGUGGAGCAUGUGGUUUAAUUUGAAGCAACGCGAAGAACCUUACCUGAUCUUGACAUCCCGAUGACCGCUUCGUAAUGGAAGUUUUUCUUCGGAACAUCGGUGACAGGUGGUGCAUGGUUGUCGUCAGCUCGUGUCGUGAGAUGUUGGGUUAAGUCCCGCAACGAGCGCAACCCCUAUCUUCAGUAGCCAGCAGGUUAAGCUGGGCACUCUGGAGAGACUGCCAGGGAUAACCUGGAGGAAGGUGGGGAUGACGUCAAAUCAUCAUGCCCCUUAUGACCAGGGCUACACACGUGCUACAAUGGCGUAAACAAAGAGAAGCGAACUCGCGAGGGUAAGCAAAUCUCAAAAAUAACGUCUCAGUUCGGAUUGUAGUCUGCAACUCGACUACAUGAAGCUGGAAUCGCUAGUAAUCGCAGAUCAGAAUGCUGCGGUGAAUACGUUCCCGGGUCUUGCACACACCGCCCGUCA
This 1393-nucleotide ribosomal RNA is filed under the name uncultured bacterium. RNAcentral describes it as "bacterial SSU rRNA". It matches the Rfam family "Bacterial small subunit ribosomal RNA". The record is from RNAcentral.